AGAGUUUGAUCCUGGCUCAGAACGAACGCUGGCGGCGCGUUUUAAGCAUGCAAGUCGAGCGGUAGAGUACCUUCGGGUGCUUGAGAGCGGCGAACGGGUGAGUAACACGUAGGUGAUCUACCUUGGGGUUGGGGAUAGCCCAUGGAAACAUGGGGUAAUACCGAAUACGGUGCGGUGUCUGUGGACGCCACAGCAAAGGCGCUUUGGCGCGCCCCUGGGAUGAGCCUGCGGACAAUUAGUUAGUUGGGUGAGGUAACGGCUCACCAAGGCAACGAUGUGUAGCCGGCCUGAGAGGGUNAUCGGCCACACUGGAANUGAGACACGNCCCAGACUCAUACGGGAGGCAGC
Molecule: ribosomal RNA, 348 nt
Filed under: uncultured bacterium
Lineage: Bacteria
Description: bacterial SSU rRNA
Rfam family: Bacterial small subunit ribosomal RNA
Source: RNAcentral